GAGUUUGAUCAUGGCUCAGAGUGAACGCUGGCGGCAGGCCUAACACAUGCAAGUCGAACGGCAGCACGGCAGUAGCAAUACUGUGGGUGGCGAGUGGCGGACGGGUGAGGAAUACAUGGGAAUCUACCCUGUCGUGGGGGAUAACGUAGGGAAACUUACGCUAAUACCGCAUACGACCGAGAGGUGAAAGCGGCGGACCGCAAGGCGUCGCGCGACUGGAUGAGCCCAUGUCGGAUUAGCUAGUUGGCGGGGUAAAGGCCCACCAAGGCGACGAUCCGUAGCUGGUCUGAGAGGAUGAUCAGCCACACUGGAACUGAGACACGGUCCAGACUCCUACGGGAGGCAGCAGUGGGGAAUAUUGGACAAUGGGCGCAAGCCUGAUCCAGCCAUGCCGCGUGAGUGAAGAAGGCCUUCGGGUUG
RNAcentral lists this ribosomal RNA (420 nucleotides) under uncultured Gammaproteobacteria bacterium. RNAcentral describes it as "bacterial SSU rRNA". It matches the Rfam family "Bacterial small subunit ribosomal RNA", at positions 9 to 425 of the family's 1533-position model. Lineage: Bacteria; Pseudomonadati; Pseudomonadota; Gammaproteobacteria. The record is from RNAcentral.